Molecule: ribosomal RNA, 765 nt
Filed under: uncultured Mesorhizobium sp.
Lineage: Bacteria; Pseudomonadati; Pseudomonadota; Alphaproteobacteria; Hyphomicrobiales; Phyllobacteriaceae
Description: bacterial SSU rRNA
Rfam family: Bacterial small subunit ribosomal RNA
Source: RNAcentral
CCGAAGGGGAGCGGCAGACGGGUGAGUACGCGUGGGAAUCUACCUAGCUCUACGGAAUAACUCAGGGAAACUUGAACUAAUACCGUAUACGCCCUUCGGGGGAAAGAUUUAUCGGAGUUGGAUGAGCCCGCGUCUGAUUAGCUAGUUGGUGGGGUAAAGGCCUACCAAGGCGACGAUCAGUAGCUGGUCUGAGAGGAUGAUCAGCCACACUGGGACUGAGACACGGCCCAGACUCCUACGGGAGGCAGCAGUGGGGAAUAUUGGACAAUGGGCGCAAGCCUGAUCCAGCCAUGCCGCGUGAGUGAUGAAGGCCCUAGGGUUGUAAAGCUCUUUCACCGGUGAAGAUAAUGACGGUAACCGGAGAAGAAGCCCCGGCUAACUUCGUGCCAGCAGCCGCGGUAAUACGAAGGGGGCUAGCGUUGUUCGGAAUUACUGGGCGUAAAGCGCACGUAGGCGGACCAUUAAGUCAGGGGUGAAAUCCCGGGGCUCAACCCCGGAACUGCCUUUGAUACUGGUGGUCUCGAGUUCGAGAGAGGUGAGUGGAAUUCCGAGUGUAGAGGUGAAAUUCGUAGAUAUUCGGAGGAACACCAGUGGCGAAGGCGGCUCACUGGCUCGAUACUGACGCUGAGGUGCGAAAGCGUGGGGGAGCAAACAGGAUUAGAUACCCUGGUAGUCCACGCCGUAAACGAUGGAAGCUAGCCGUUGGCAGGUUUACCUGUCGGUGGCGCAGCUAACGCAUUAAGCUCCCGCCUGGGGAGUCGGUCC